This 837-nucleotide long non-coding RNA is filed under the name Lupinus angustifolius (narrow-leaved blue lupine). RNAcentral describes it as "long non-coding RNA (LANG_LNC001488)". Lineage: Eukaryota; Viridiplantae; Streptophyta; Magnoliopsida; Fabales; Fabaceae. The record is from RNAcentral.
UGAGUGUUGUAGUUUUUGAUUCCAACAAAAAUGAGUCUUCAUCACUUAAUUAGUGUAACCCUUCGGCUUAGGUUUUUCUUCUAGUUAUUCUACCUUUCAUUUUCCUUUAUUAGUGCAGACAACACGAGAACUUUGGGAUUGGUCUCCUAGAUGAAUAACUACGAGAGCAAGAAGUUGAUGAGAAUCUUGCUUUGAAAAAGACUAGGCCUCUAGAGCAUGAUGUACACCUUCAGCAAUUAGAUAUUCAUUCUUAUAUUUCCAGGUAUAAGUGGAUCGGGUUGCCAACAAAUGGGGUUUUCUUCACAAAUAGUAUUAUUGGGACAAGCACACCCAAGACAUCUACAUAGAGUAGAUAUUUACACUAAUAUAAGUCAUUCUUGCCUCUAACAAUGGGUGUGCCUUAGUAGUUUAUGUUAACCUAUAAGAAGAUGUUUCCCUUGAGCACUUCCUCACAUGUGAUUCACAAAUACUAGCAGCUUCAUCAUCAUGCAAUUCUUAUGAAGGUUGUUGAAUAAGGAAUACAAUUAUCUCGGUGUCCAUUGAGGCAUCUAGAUCUCCUUGCAGCAUACAAGAGUUGAUGGCUAGGCUUUUAUGCGUACUCAUAAUGAUUUAAAUUGCAGACUGCAUCAUAUGAUAUGGCCACAAUAUUGUGGUUGCGGUUUUUGUCGCAACCGCAUCACAUCACAAUUGUGGUGUGACACUAAACCAUAAUGAUGCGGCUGGAUUAGAUGGCAAUGCAACUGCAUUGGGCUGUAUUUGGGUUGUAUCAUACCGCAAUGCAACCGCAUCAGACAACAUCGAUUUCACAAAUAUUUUUUUACUCACAAAAUAUUUCAC